This 233-nucleotide ribosomal RNA is filed under the name uncultured bacterium. RNAcentral's name for it is "partial 16S ribosomal RNA". It matches the Rfam family "Archaeal small subunit ribosomal RNA", at positions 745 to 977 of the family's 1478-position model. The record is from RNAcentral.
UCCUAGCUGUAAACGCUGCGGGCUUGGUGUUGGGGGUCCUACGAGGGCAUCCAGUGCCGGAGAGAAGUUGUUAAGCCCGCUACCUGGGGAGUACGGCCGCAAGGCUGAAACUUAAAGGAAUUGGCGGGGGAGCACCGCAACGGGAGGAGCGUGCGGUUUAAUUGGAUUCAACGCCGGAAAACUCACCAGGGGCGACUGCCACAUGAAGGUCAAGCUGAUGACUUUACCCGAUU